RNAcentral lists this non-coding RNA (27 nucleotides) under Homo sapiens (human). Lineage: Eukaryota; Metazoa; Chordata; Mammalia; Primates; Hominidae. The record is from RNAcentral.
CUGGUUUGGAAACUUGUGCUGUUGUGU